This 402-nucleotide ribosomal RNA is filed under the name bacterium. RNAcentral describes it as "partial 16S ribosomal RNA". It matches the Rfam family "Bacterial small subunit ribosomal RNA", at positions 355 to 776 of the family's 1533-position model. The record is from RNAcentral.
UGGGGAAUUUUGCACAAUGGGGGAAACCCUGAUGCAGCGACGCCGCGUGAUUUAGAAGGCCUUCGGGUUGUAAAAAUCUUUUCUAUGGGAAGAAAAUGACAGUACCAUAGGAAUAAGGACCGGCUAAUUACGUGCCAGCAGCCGCGGUAAUACGUAAGGUCCGAGCGUUGUCCGGAAUCAUUGGGCGUAAAGGGUACGUAGGCGGGUAAGCAAGUUAGAAGUGAAAUCCUAUAGCUCAACUAUAGUAAGCUUUUAAAACUGCUCAUCUUGAGGUAUGGAAGGGAAAGUGGGAUUCCUAGUGUAGCGGUGAAAUGCGCAGAUAUUAGGAGGAAUACCGGUGGCGAAGGCGACUUUCUGGCCAUAACCUGACGCUGAGGUACGAAAGCGUGGGUAGCAAACAGG